AAGAAUAAUUAAGCGCCAGGGCCUUAGAGGUGUGAAAGUUUAAGGUCGACGAGGAAGAGGGUUAUCGAACGUUUCGGCGGAUCCCUCUCGGUGGCUUGUCACCGUAAAGCUUGCUUAAAACCGAGGAGUAAUUUUCGGGACAAUGAGUAAGCUGGCAAGACAA
This is a regulatory RNA element of Desulfosporosinus sp. Tol-M, 163 nucleotides long. It matches the Rfam family "glmS glucosamine-6-phosphate activated ribozyme aptamer". Rfam says of the family: This entry contains a glucosamine-6-phosphate activated ribozyme that is found in the mRNA for GlmS. GlmS is an enzyme that uses fructose-6-phosphate and glutamine to generate glucosamine-6-phosphate. Lineage: Bacteria; Bacillati; Bacillota; Clostridia; Eubacteriales; Desulfitobacteriaceae. The record is from Rfam.